CAGCAGCCACGGGAAAACGGAGGGUGCAAGCGUUAUCCGGAUUUAUUGGGUUAAAAGGGUCCGUAGGCGGACUUAUAAGUCAGUGGUGAAAGCCUGUCGCUUAACGAUAGAACUGCCAUUGAUACUGUAAGUCUUGAGUAUAUUUGAGGUAGCUGGAAUAAGUAGUGUAGCGGUGAAAUGCAUAGAUAUUACUUAGAACACCAAUUGCGAAGGCAGGUUACCAAGAUAUAACUGACGCUGAGGGACGAAAGCGUGGGUAGCGAACAGGAUUAGAUACCCCAGUAGUCCCUGUCUCUUAUAC
This 301-nucleotide ribosomal RNA is filed under the name uncultured bacterium. RNAcentral's name for it is "partial 16S ribosomal RNA". It matches the Rfam family "Bacterial small subunit ribosomal RNA", at positions 509 to 807 of the family's 1533-position model. The record is from RNAcentral.